This 2751-nucleotide ribosomal RNA is filed under the name Escherichia coli. RNAcentral describes it as "23S ribosomal RNA". It matches the Rfam family "Bacterial large subunit ribosomal RNA". The record is from RNAcentral. Lineage: Bacteria; Pseudomonadati; Pseudomonadota; Gammaproteobacteria; Enterobacterales; Enterobacteriaceae.
GGGUUGUGAGGUUAAGCGACUAAGCGUACACGGUGGAUGCCCUGGCAGUCAGAGGCGAUGAAGGACGUGCUAAUCUGCGAUAAGCGUCGGUAAGGUGAUAUGAACCGUUAUAACCGGCGAUUUCCGAAUGGGGAAACCCAGUGUGAUUCGUCACACUAUCAUUAACUGAAUCCAUAGGUUAAUGAGGCGAACCGGGGGAACUGAAACAUCUAAGUACCCCGAGGAAAAGAAAUCAACCGAGAUUCCCCCAGUAGCGGCGAGCGAACGGGGNNNNNNNNNNNNNNNNNNNNNNNNNNNNNNNNNNNNNNNNNNNNNNNNNNNNNNNNNNNNNNNNNNNNNNNNNNNNNNNNNNNNNNNNNNNNNNNNNNNNNNNNNNNNNGUGUGACUGCGUACCUUUUGUAUAAUGGGUCAGCGACUUAUAUUCUGUAGCAAGGUUAACCGAAUAGGGGAGCCGAAGGGAAACCGAGUCUUAACUGGGCGUUAAGUUGCAGGGUAUAGACCCGAAACCCGGUGAUCUAGCCAUGGGCAGGUUGAAGGUUGGGUAACACUAACUGGAGGACCGAACCGACUAAUGUUGAAAAAUUAGCGGAUGACUUGUGGCUGGGGGUGAAAGGCCAAUCAAACCGGGAGAUAGCUGGUUCUCCCCGAAAGCUAUUUAGGUAGCGCCUCGUGAAUUCAUCUCCGGGGGUAGAGCACUGUUUCGGCAAGGGGGUCAUCCCGACUUACCAACCCGAUGCAAACUGCGAAUACCGGAGAAUGUUAUCACGGGAGACACACGGCGGGUGCUAACGUCCGUCGUGAAGAGGGAAACAACCCAGACCGCCAGCUAAGGUCCCAAAGUCAUGGUUAAGUGGGAAACGAUGUGGGAAGGCCCAGACAGCCAGGAUGUUGGCUUAGAAGCAGCCAUCAUUUAAAGAAAGCGUAAUAGCUCACUGGUCGAGUCGGCCUGCGCGGAAGAUGUAACGGGGCUAAACCAUGCACCGAAGCUGCGGCAGCGACGCUUAUGCGUUGUUGGGUAGGGGAGCGUUCUGUAAGCCUGCGAAGGUGUGCUGUGAGGCAUGCUGGAGGUAUCAGAAGUGCGAAUGCUGACAUAAGUAACGAUAAAGCGGGUGAAAAGCCCGCUCGCCGGAAGACCAAGGGUUCCUGUCCAACGUUAAUCGGGGCAGGGUGAGUCGACCCCUAAGGCGAGGCCGAAAGGCGUAGUCGAUGGGAAACAGGUUAAUAUUCCUGUACUUGGUGUUACUGCGAAGGGGGGACGGAGAAGGCUAUGUUGGCCGGGCGACGGUUGUCCCGGUUUAAGCGUGUAGGCUGGUUUUCCAGGCAAAUCCGGAAAACUAAGGCUGAGGCGUGAUGACGAGGCACUACGGUGCUGAAGCAACAAAUGCCCUGCUUCCAGGAAAAGCCUCUAAGCAUCAGGUAACAUCAAAUCGUACCCCAAACCGACACAGGUGGUCAGGUAGAGAAUACCAAGGCGCUUGAGAGAACUCGGGUGAAGGAACUAGGCAAAAUGGUGCCGUAACUUCGGGAGAAGGCACGCUGAUAUGUAGGUGAAGUCCCUCGCGGAUGGAGCUGAAAUCAGUCGAAGAUACCAGCUGGCUGCAACUGUUUAUUAAAAACACAGCACUGUGCAAACACGAAAGUGGACGUAUACGGUGUGACGCCUGCCCGGUGCCGGAAGGUUAAUUGAUGGGGUCAGCGCAAGCGAAGCUCUUGAUCGAAGCCCCGGUAAACGGCGGCCGUAACUAUAACGGUCCUAAGGUAGCGAAAUUCCUUGUCGGGUAAGUUCCGACCUGCACGAAUGGCGUAAUGAUGGCCAGGCUGUCUCCACCCGAGACUCAGUGAAAUUGAACUCGCUGUGAAGAUGCAGUGUACCCGCGGCAAGACGGAAAGACCCCGUGAACCUUUACUAUAGCUUGACACUGAACAUUGAGCCUUGAUGUGUAGGAUAGGUGGGAGGCUUUGAAGUGUGGACGCCAGUCUGCAUGGAGCCGACCUUGAAAUACCACCCUUUAAUGUUUGAUGUUCUAACGUUGACCCGUGAUCCGGGUUGCGGACAGUGUCUGGUGGGUAGUUUGACUGGGGCGGUCUCCUCCUAAAGAGUAACGGAGGAGCACGAAGGUUGGCUAAUCCUGGUCGGACAUCAGGAGGUUAGUGCAAUGGCAUAAGCCAGCUUGACUGCGAGCGUGACGGCGCGAGCAGGUGCGAAAGCAGGUCAUAGUGAUCCGGUGGUUCUGAAUGGAAGGGCCAUCGCUCAACGGAUAAAAGGUACUCCGGGGAUAACAGGCUGAUACCGCCCAAGAGUUCAUAUCGACGGCGGUGUUUGGCACCUCGAUGUCGGCUCAUCACAUCCUGGGGCUGAAGUAGGUCCCAAGGGUAUGGCUGUUCGCCAUUUAAAGUGGUACGCGAGCUGGGUUUAGAACGUCGUGAGACAGUUCGGUCCCUAUCUGCCGUGGGCGCUGGAGAACUGAGGGGGGCUGCUCCUAGUACGAGAGGACCGGAGUGGACGCAUCACUGGUGUUCGGGUUGUCAUGCCAAUGGCACUGCCCGGUAGCUAAAUGCGGAAGAGAUAAGUGCUGAAAGCAUCUAAGCACGAAACUUGCCCCGAGAUGAGUUCUCCCUGACUCCUUGAGAGUCCUGAAGGAACGUUGAAGACGACGACGUUGAUAGGCCGGGUGUGUAAGCGCAGCGAUGCGUUGAGCUAACCGGUACUAAUGAACCGUGAGGCUUAACCUUACAACGCCGAAGGUGUUU